RNAcentral lists this long non-coding RNA (641 nucleotides) under Mus pahari (shrew mouse). RNAcentral describes it as "lncRNA (MGP_PahariEiJ_G0005590.1)". Lineage: Eukaryota; Metazoa; Chordata; Mammalia; Rodentia; Muridae. The record is from RNAcentral.
CGUGACUCCACUCGGAGCCCAGCCAGACUAGGCACAUCCCCGUGACCCUGUUUCCAGCUGAGAUGAGAUUCUCAGUCCCCACAGUGAACACCGCGACAGCUCUUCUCUGAGGACAGUAUUUGAUCUGGAAUAUACUUCUAAUAGUUUUUCCUUUAUAAUUUGUGGAGGGCCAGCACUUCUGAUGGACACUUUGGCCCACAGGAUGCUGGAGAGAACCUCUAGUUGGAACUACUCCUCUCCGUAUCAGGACUUGCCUAUAAUGAGCAAUAGCUCAGCCCGUGUCUGUCUUCACUAUCUCCCCCUUCCCCCCCACCCCCACCCAGCGUUUAUGAAAGUAGCGAUUGCUUCUGAGAAAAAGAAAACCGCUGGAGCUUGAAGCUCCGGCUGGAAGCCACUGCUUGCCUCAGUUUGUGGAAACCCAGGCACUGGAAAUCGGAGUUUUGCCGCGCUUCGCCUUGGCAACGUGUACUCGGGAGUUUUAUUUUUAUAAGGUCGGAGAGUUCUCCGUGAGACUCAGCACACUGGCUGGAGAGGGAUGGCUGCAUGCCUCUCUCUCUCUCUCUCUCUCUCUCUCUCUCUCUCUCUCUCUGUGUGUGUGUGUGAGCUGUGUGGGCAGGACAGGCUACACACUCCUGAAUCUC